Molecule: small RNA, 28 nt
Filed under: Bombyx mori (domestic silkworm)
Lineage: Eukaryota; Metazoa; Arthropoda; Insecta; Lepidoptera; Bombycidae
Description: piRNA piR-bmo-2054236
Source: RNAcentral
UUGUAGGUGACGCAGGAAUUGUGACGGU